AACGAACGCUGGCGGCAGGCCUAACACAUGCCAGUCGAGCGAGGACUUCGGUUCUAGCGGCGGACGGGUGAGUAACGCGUGGGAAUGUGCCCUUCUCUACGGAAUAGCCCUGGGAAACUGGGAGUAAUACCGUAUACGCCCUAUUGGGGAAAGAUUUAUCGGAGAAGGAUCAGCCCGCGUUGGAUUAGGUAGUUGGUGGGGUAAUGGCCUACCAAGCCGACGAUCCAUAGCUGGUUGGAGAGGAUGAUCAGCCACACUGGGACUGAGACACGGCCCAGACUCCUCCGGGAGGCAGCAGUGGGGUAUCUUAGACAAUGGGGGCAACACUGUUCCAGCCGUGCCGCGUGAGUCAUGAAGGCCUUAGGGUUGUAAAGCUCUUUCAGCUGGGAAGAUAAUGCCGGUACCAGCAGAAGAAGCCCCGGCUAACUCCGUG
This 433-nucleotide ribosomal RNA is filed under the name uncultured bacterium. RNAcentral describes it as "partial 16S ribosomal RNA". It matches the Rfam family "Bacterial small subunit ribosomal RNA", at positions 29 to 507 of the family's 1533-position model. The record is from RNAcentral.